Molecule: long non-coding RNA, 1729 nt
Filed under: Rattus norvegicus (Norway rat)
Lineage: Eukaryota; Metazoa; Chordata; Mammalia; Rodentia; Muridae
Description: long non-coding RNA NONRATT031732
Source: RNAcentral
CCUAUAGCCAAGCCAGAGUGACAGUCCAAGCUGUCCUGCCCCUUUUCUGACCUGAGGCAGAAUUAACCACCUCCCUCAGAGAGUGCUGAGGCAAAUCUUGCUGUCUGCGCUCCAACUCUCUCCUGUGUGGUCCCUCUACAUCUAGCUCCCAGGCUUCCCCCUCAGGAGAGGCCCUCCUAGCAGCCUUAGAGGACAGAACAACCACCACCUGGGUCAUCAGAAGCCAUGCCUGGAAGUCCCAGAGGGAGUGAGAGGAAGAAAUGCCAGGGUCCCGGGCUUUCUGGGGAAGCAGAGAGAGGACUGGUUAAAAUAAAGAUGGGAGGUAGGGUCCGCAGCCCAGCUCGUUUGGAAACCACACUGGUGCAAGCUGAGAGGCCCCAGGAAUGGCAUGAUCUUCAAACCCUUCUGGAAUUUAGACCGCACAUCCUUGGACAUUGUGAGCCAGGAGAUGGUGCUCCUGUGUGGAGGUGGACACGAGGGAAGCAGGGCAGAAAGUCGCCCCUACCUGAAGCAUCCAGAGUCUCUGCUGGACUCAGUAGGGUCUCUGCAUUAGUUCUAGGAGCAAAUCUUGUCUGCUGAAUACUUGUGAGGAGGAUCCUGUCCUCUCCUUCCCUCAUUCUCUUCCAACCAGCCAGGACCAGCAAGCCAAGUGCAGGCUCUCGGAGCCCGUGUCCCAUUUCGAAGUCUGUUUACUCUGCAAAAUUAAUCCCUUGGAUGCCUGGAGAAACAGGACUCAUAUUAAACAAAGACCUGACUCUGGAUUCUGCACACUAAGCUCUGCGGUGGAAGCUUUUAGUGUAUGCAGUCAGGAAAACAAUGCCCCAGGCUCAGCUUGUGCAUCCUCUGUGCGUGACCUCUGAGGUAUGGGGGCACAGCCUUCAAUACAUCAUAGUAAUGGGUCACAUGCAUGCCUUCCAGAUGUGACGCUACAACCACAGUGGAGAAAGAGACCCAGUGGUAGUGGAGAAAGAGACCCAGUGGUAGUUUGGAAUAAGUGGCUAGGAUCAAACAACCAUCACUGUUGAACAAGAUCGUAUGUGUGUGUGUGUGUGUGUGUGUGUGUGUGUGUUCAUUUGUGUGUAUGUAUAUGUAUGUGUGUCUGUCUUUGUGUGUAUGUGUGUGUGUGUGUGGUUUUUUAAAAGAAUUAUUUAUUAUAUAUAAGUACACUGUAGCUGUCUUCAGACACACCAGAAGAGGGCAUCAGCUCUCAUUACAGAUGGUUGUGAGCCACCAUGCAGUUGCUGGGAAUUGAACUCAGGACCUCUGGAAGAGCAAUCAGUGCUCUUAACCACUUUGCCAUCUCUCCAACCCCCUUUGUGUGCAUGCCUCUCUCUCUCUCUCUCUCUCUCUCUCUCUCUCUCUCUCUCUCUCUCUGUGUGUGUGUGUGUGUGUUUGUCUCUACCAAGGUCUUCCUAGGAAGCCUGUGAAGCCACUAAGUACUGGGAUGUAGCUUGGUCGUUGGAGCACUUGCACAGAGGAGGCCCUGAGUUUGAUCCCUAGCACUGCACAAACCAGACAAAGUGGCACAGGCCUGUGAUCCUAGCACUCAGUCACUUAAGAAUUGGGGGGGGCAGGAUGAUCAAGAGAUUGAGGCUGUGGUGGUUUGAAUGAGAAUGACCCCCCAUAGGCUCAUCUGAAUGCUUGGUCUACAGCUGGUGGAACCAUUUGGGAAGGAUUAGGGGGCGUGGCCUUUCUGCAGAAGGUGCAUUACUGAAGGUGAGCAUAGAGG